This 62-nucleotide transfer RNA is filed under the name Diplostomum spathaceum. RNAcentral's name for it is "tRNA-Glu". The record is from RNAcentral. Lineage: Eukaryota; Metazoa; Platyhelminthes; Trematoda; Diplostomida; Diplostomidae.
AUCGAAGGGGUGUGAGUAGCAUUAUAAUUUUUCGUAUUAUAGGUCUCUUUGGAGUUUCGGUG